RNAcentral lists this ribosomal RNA (167 nucleotides) under Phaius pulchellus var. sandrangatensis. RNAcentral describes it as "5.8S ribosomal RNA". It matches the Rfam family "5.8S ribosomal RNA". Rfam says of the family: 5.8S ribosomal RNA (5.8S rRNA) is a component of the large subunit of the eukaryotic ribosome. It is transcribed by RNA polymerase I as part of the 45S precursor that also contains 18S and 28S rRNA. Functionally, it is thought that 5.8S rRNA may be involved in ribosome translocation. Lineage: Eukaryota; Viridiplantae; Streptophyta; Magnoliopsida; Asparagales; Orchidaceae. The record is from RNAcentral.
UAGAUUGACACGACUCUCGGCAAUGGAUAUCUCGGCUCUCGCAUCGAUGAAGAGCGCAGCGAAAUGCGAUACGUGGUGCGAAUUGCAGAAUCCUGUAAACCAUCGAGUUUUUGAACACAAGUUGCGCUCGAGGCCAAUCGGCCAAGGGCACGUCUGCCUGGGCGUCA